Molecule: long non-coding RNA, 215 nt
Filed under: Ricinus communis (castor bean)
Lineage: Eukaryota; Viridiplantae; Streptophyta; Magnoliopsida; Malpighiales; Euphorbiaceae
Description: long non-coding RNA (RCOM_LNC001611)
Source: RNAcentral
UCCCCUUGGAGAGAGCUUCCUUUUGGCGGCAGCGGCGUCGGUUUUGGUGGCCGGAUGAGAGAGUUCCGGCGAAGUGGAGGCAGCCGCAUUUUUGGGCUUUUUCGGCGAGCUCCGGCGGAGGAUGGAUGAUCGGAGGAUGUAUCCCGACUCUCCUCAGCUCAAGCUUCGCGAUGGCACUGGUUUCGUGGCGAUCGGGCUUCGUUUGCAAAUCGACG